GUCACGAAUGUGUUAACCCUUUCGUAUGUCGUACAGUACGUUAGUGAUCAUGAAUUAAAUUAGGUUAUCAAUUAUUCAUUGUAGUUAAUUGUCAUUGACAAUUAACAAAAUUCAUGUAUGAAUUUUGUUCUCGUUUGUACGAGUGUUUUGCAUACGUGGCAGAGGUUGCCACCAAUCAGAAAACGGGAGUUUUGAUAGGCGUGGCUUCGAACACGUACACUUGUCUAUGCCUUCGGCAGCCAUAAUCUUGAGAAGUCGUGUGUGAAUUCUUGUCGUGAUUCUCUGUAGACAAACAGAGUUCGUUGUUCAUUUUACAUUCCUCAGUAGGAGCGAUUUACUGAAUUUUCGGUGAGCAGUGUAAGUUUAGUAGAAAUAUAUAAAAUGGAUGUCCAAACAGGAUUGGUAUAUGUAGCAGUAGUAGUUAUUUCUGCAGCAGUUAUUGUUUUAGUAUCAAUGUUUGGCAUAAAAGAAAAAUCUUAUGAAGAAGCAAUAGCAGAGCAAAGAAAACUUCCUGAUGAUCUUUUGUCAAAUAAAAAAGAUAAAAGUAAAGAAAAGAAACAUAAAAAUAAGGCAGGGAAAAAAGUAAAAGAGAAGAAAGAAGAAAAGGAGGAAAAGGAAGAUAAAGAAGAAAAACCAGAGCAUGUACAAUUUGAGGAAAAUCCACAAAUUUUACCACUAGAGCCAUUACUUCGUGAGGGUAGCAAAGGAAGUAAGAAGAAAAGCAAGCAUGAAAAGGUAAAGCCAAUUCUUGUAAAUAAAGAUGAGCCAUUGGUUAUUGUGACUGAAUUAAGUCCUUCACAAUCCCUCUCAACAGAGGUUAAUCAUUUUGACCUCAUUCAACCAAAGGACGACCUCGAACUCAUACGGAGUCAUAGUAAAGAAAAUUUGCAACAAAUUGGUCAGUCUGAAUCAACUAUAAAUAAAUCUCCAAAGGAAACUCCAACAAAAGUAAAGAAGAAUGUGAAAGAUUCAGUGAAAAAGAAGGAUGACAAUAUUAAGGAAGAGAAAAAAGAAACAAUUAAUAAUACCAAUAUACCACCAGUAGCUAAUAAAGAUUCUGCAAAAGAAAUUAAAGAACAAAAAGAAACUUCAGUCAGAGAUGUAAAAGAAGUUAUAAAAGAAACUGUAAUUUCUACUCAAUCAACAAAUAAAGAAUCUAAAAAAGCAAAGAAAAAGAAUGAUAUUCUAGCACAAAUUGGUGGAGAUAAGGAUGCUGUCAAUGUAUCUUUAUUAAUGCCUUUAGUUCAGAAAGCUGAACUUAGCCGUUCUGAAAUACAAAUUCUUAUUGACCAACUUUUAAAUAAACAAAUGGAUAAUCCAUCAGAACACUCAGAAUGGACAGAAGGUCGCGCAGAUCCAGUUAUUAAAUUAAAAAAACAACUUGCAGAGAAGGAAAAAGCUUUAGCCGAUGAACAUGAAGCAAAUAUUGCAUUUCAAAAUAAAUUGAAAGAGUUACGUGCUGAGUUGAAUUCUGAAAGGUCUAGAUUAUCAGCUAAUGUAAGACAAUUAGAAGAAGCAUUAAAUGCUAAAGUUACAGAAACUCAAACUCUACAUACACGAAUGCAACAUAUCUUGGAAAGUCACGCUGCUGAAAAACAAGGAUUUACUAGACAAAUUGAACAAUUGCAAACUAAAGUAAAUGAAAAUGCUGCAAUUAUUCAUAAGAUGCAAGAGGAUCAAGGACAAACUCAAGGUCAUAUGCAACAAGAGUUGAUUGCACAACGUAAACAAAUGGAAGUACAAUUUGCACAAAUGCGUGAUAAUGAAAAUGCAUUAAAAGCACAAUUAGCUCAAAAACAUGUAGAAGUACAAGAAUUACAAAGUGAGUUACAAGCAACUUGUGAGAGUAGCACUGCUGAAAUAGAAAUGUUACGGCAACAAUUAGGACUUAUGCAAGGUCAAUUGAUGCAUUCAGAAGGACAAUUACAACAUUUCAAAGAAGCUGGAGACAGACUGCAAGAUGUUGCUAGGCAGCUUGAGGAUUCCCAUCGUGCACAUGCUGAUUUAGAUCACAGACUAAAAAGCGCUCAUCGUCAUGAACAGGAACUUCAGAAACAAGUGAAUUCAUUGCAAAGUGAAUUAAAUUCUGUAAAAACAGAAGCUAAUGAUGCUUCAGCAUUAAAAACAGAAUUGAAUAAAGCUCAGUCUGAAUUAGUGAAAUUAAAAUCUGAGCUGUCAGUAUCAAUGAAUGAAGUGAAAUAUGAGGCAGCUGAAAUUACAGCUCUUAAAGUGACACUUGUUGACAGAGAGGAGGAACUGAAAGUAUUUCAAGAAAAGCUUAUUAACAAAGACAAGGAUCUAGAAACAUGUAAAGAAGAACUUAACAAUGUACGAACUGAAUUAAAGCAGUCAACAGAAAAUAUAACACAGUUGGAAACACAGUUAGAGGCAGUACAGAAGAACUUAGAUACUGUACAAGAUGAACUUAACAAGACGACAAAAAGUCUAGAAGUAGCACAAGGAGACGUUGAUACUAAUCAAUCGAACAUGGAGAAGUUAGAGGAACAGUUAAAGCAGUCUCAAAAUGAAUUAGAAGAAGCACGUGCCGAACUUAAAGCUGUAAAUGAAACAACGAACGAAAUGAACAUGUUAAAGGCAGAGAUAAAUAGGUUACAGAAACGUGAUCAGCGAUCAAGUGAAACUCAGUUACAGAUUACACGACUGCAAGAAGAAAAUGAUAAACUUUCUAUACAGCUCACAAAUCUCGCAGAUUUGCAAAAGCAACUUAAGCAAUUACAAGAAGAAAAUGAAUCACUGGCUUCUCAAUUAGCAGCAACUACUGAACGUCCAGCUGCAGAAGGCCGUGAAAAUGGAAUUGAUGAUAAUGUUCAAAAGAAUGUACAACUUGUAGAACAAACCAAUUUGUUGGCCCAAAAGGAGAGCCAAUUAAAUGCUUUAAGAACUGAAUUAACACAUAAAGAAGUGGAACUGAAUCAAUUAAAUACUCAGAUUGAUGCAUUACGAAGUGAUGUAAACAAUCAACGUAGUCUUGCUGCCCGUUUAAAUAAUGAAUUGGAAGCACAAAGGUCCAAAAAUAAUGAAUUACGUGUAAAAAACUGGAAAGUGAUGGAAGCUCUUUCCGCCGCCGAAUUGCGUACUAAAUCUAAUAAUGGGAAAAACUUUGAUGAAAUUACACAAAAAGUAAAAGCAGAAGAAGAAAAGUUAACAAAGGCUUUAUUAGAAAGGAUAUUCCCAGAAAUAAAAGUAUCUGAAAAAUCACACGAGCUGUGGCUCAAAGUUUUUGAAGAAAAGGUGAAUACAGUUUUUACUGAAUUGAAGAAAAAGAAUACUACUGAUAAUCACUCAGAAUUAGAAAAACAAAAUAAAAAUUUACAAGAUAUGGUUUCGCAUUAUAAACAAAUUAUUGAUGAUACAGAAGGUAUGCUUAAUAAGCUGCAAAGUCAUGUAGAAUCAGAGGAAACAAGGUGGGAGUCACAGCUUCGACAGAAAGAAAGUGAGGUAGCAGGUCUUAGAAUUGAAUUGAACGAACUCAUGAGUAAAUUAAAUAUAAAUGAAAAGUUACAAGAUAAGGUAGUAGAAUUGGAAACCAGACUGAAAGAAGCUGAAUCUUUUAAAGAACAAGCUAAUGCUGAAUUAUUGACACAUAGAUCCACACCAAAGUUGGUUUUGAGUGAAGUAGAUACUCAUGAUUUAGGUACAUUAGAAAAGCUUCAAGAGGAAAAGGCACGACUGUCAGAAGAACUUCAAAUAGAAUGUAACAAAAGAGCAGCAGUAGAUGCAGAAUUGGAUAAAUUACGAUGUGUAGUUACACAACUUCAUCAAAAAAUGUCACAACUUAAGAGUGAAGUUUAUGGAGGUUGUAGCAGUUCAGAACAGCCAAUAUUAAAUGGACCGCCAGCUUCUGAAUGUUCUAAUUCCGAGCUCCCACUAGCAACACAGACUCUGAUAGCUGCAUUAGAAAAUAUUCUUCUCAAGAAUACAGAGUUCGCAAAUUGUUCCAUAACCAAGCCUAUCAAUUUGGUUCAGUCUCAACAAGAAAUUGACAACAGCCCCCUUACUACAAAAUACUCCUCCAAAUCUUGUCAUAUGACAGAUCACAACACACAGGCUAGCUGGAAUCCAUUGAUGGGCCAGCAGCAUAAAAAGCACAAGAAAAAAAGGAAGUCCACUAAGAAACCCAUGGCAAAACGGCGCAGAUUCGCAGAUAUAGAAAAGUUGUACAAAGACGAACAAAAGUUUAUAACAUUGCCGGUGCAGAAAGGAGCGAUGCGAAGAUGAUGGGUAUCAAAGAACAUGCAUAGCUACAUGUGGAUCAAUUUUUAUGAACACAAACACUGGGGGUGGUUCAAGAAAAAAAUAACUUUAAAGAACAAGCUGCGUUAACGCAGCACGACACCAGAUAAUUGAUAAAGAAAAUACACGAGAAAUUACAUAUGCUCCAAUACUACAUAAACAUCAAUGGUAAAUUUUGCUAUUGAGAAGACUAAUAUAUCGAUGGAAAUAUGAUGAAUAAUGUUUCUUAUGGAAAGAAUAUAUUAUUUUAUUAUAUGGAAAGAAAUAUAAAUAAUGAACUUUGUAGUUAGACACUAAGAAAUAAUGAAACUGCUGUUUGUCACAAUUACACAAUUAAUAGAUAUACAAAAUGCAUAAUUCAGAAAUUAUUAAAAUCAUACAAUGUAAAUUACAGAAAAGUAGUAGUUAUUGUUUAAAUAUUAUUUCUGUUACAUAAAGCAUGUUCAUCAGGUGUGUUUGAAGCCUUCAUAGUUUAUUUAAAAUUUAUUAUUCAUAAAAUCAUUUAUAGAAUAAAAUGUACGUACAUAUGUAUAAAUGUACGCCUAAUAGAACGCACGAUUUCUAAUUUUGAGUAGGUAACGCAAAUAUUUUUACGUACAUUUUUUUUAAAUUAAUAGCGAUCAAUUAACAGAGUCUUAGAUUAUUUUCAUAUUGUUAAAGAAUUUGUAUACAAAGCUGUAAUCGUUAAUGAAUUGAUGUGCAAUAAAUAUAUUCGUGUGAUCAUUAGUAUAAAAGUAUAUAGAGGGAAUUCAAUACGUGGCUUCUUAAGGCAAAUUCACGAACAAGUAAUUAAUUUCGUAAAAUAUGAGAAAAAUUUAAUAAAUCAACUCUAGUGAACUUAUAAAUCUGUUCGAAAAUGUGAUUGAACAGGAUGUUUUGAAUAUAUUAAAAUAUAACGAAGUAUACAAAUUAUAUUAACAAAUUUAUGUUUUAAAUAAUUUGUAAGUACCAAAUUUGAACAAUGACAUAGAGUAGACCAUAUGUAAAUGGGGCAUUUAAAAGAGCGUUUGUUAAAGUUUUUAUGUGUUAGUUUAUUUUACAAAACAAUAUAAUUUUUAUUAUAAUCUACGUUACAAGAUAUGAAAUAGGUGAUAAUACUCUAUUUAUAAUAUAUUAAACACUUGUUUCUUAAAGUAUCAUUGUUUCAUUUAUUUACAAAAUUGUGUAAGGUUUAACACACAUAGUACUUAUUUAUAUUUUACAUUUAGUAAAGUACGUAAUAAGAUUAUUGUUUCAUUUCACAUUACGCAAUAUAUAAAUUUCAAUAAUAAUUUGUAAUUAUAGUGAA
Molecule: RNA transcript, 5542 nt
Organism: Bombus pascuorum
Lineage: Eukaryota; Metazoa; Arthropoda; Insecta; Hymenoptera; Apidae
Gene name: kinectin-like
Exons: 19
Source: RefSeq, a predicted model, not a curated record